Molecule: ribosomal RNA, 484 nt
Filed under: uncultured bacterium
Lineage: Bacteria
Description: partial 16S ribosomal RNA
Rfam family: Bacterial small subunit ribosomal RNA
Source: RNAcentral
AUUGAACGCUGGCGGCAGGCCUAACACAUGCAAGUCGAGCGGAUGAAGGGAGCUUGCUCCUGGAUUCAGCGGCGGACGGGUGAGUAAUGCCUAGGAAUCUCCCUGUUAGUGUUGUAUAACGUCCGGAAACGGGCGCUAAUACCGCAUACGUCCUGAGGGAGAAAGUGGGGGAUCUUCGGACCUCACGCUAUCAGAUGAGCCUAGGUCGGAUUAGCUAGUUGGUGGGGUAAAGGCCUACCAAGGCGACGAUCCGUAACUGGUCUGAGAGGAUGAUCAGUCACACUGGAACUGAGACACGGUCCAGACUCCUACGGGAGGCAGCAGUGGGGAAUAUUGGACAAUGGGCGAAAGCCUGAUCCAGCCAUGCCGCGUGUGUGAAGAAGGUCUUCGGAUUGUAAAGCACUUUAAGUUGGGAGGAAGGGCAGUAAGUUAAUACCUUGCUGUUUUGACGUUACCAACAGAAUAAGCACCGGCUAACUUCGUG